GACGAACGCUGGCGGCGUGCUUAACACAUGCAAGUCGAACGGAAAGGCCCUGCUUUUGUGGGGUGCUCGAGUGGCGAACGGGUGAGUAACACGUGAGUAACCUGCCCUUGACUGUGGGAUAACUUCAGGAAACUGGGGCUAAUACCGGAUAGGAGCUCCUGCUGCAUGGUGGGGGUUGGAAAGUUUCGGCGGUUGGGGAUGGACUCGCGGCUUAUCAGCUUGUUGGUGGGGUAGUGGCUUACCAAGGCUUUGACGGGUAGCCGGCCUGAGAGGGUGACCGGCCACAUUGGGACUGAGAUACGGCCCAGACUCCUACGGGAGGCAGCAGUGGGGAAUAUUGCACAAUGGGCGGACGCCUGAUGCAGCAACGCCGCGUGCGGGAUGACGGCCUUCGGGUUGUAAACCGCUUUCGCCUGUGACGAAGCGUGAGUGACGGUAAUGGGUAAAGAAGCACCGGCUAACUACGUG
Molecule: ribosomal RNA, 468 nt
Filed under: uncultured bacterium
Lineage: Bacteria
Description: partial 16S ribosomal RNA
Rfam family: Bacterial small subunit ribosomal RNA
Source: RNAcentral